Molecule: long non-coding RNA, 1661 nt
Organism: Folsomia candida
Lineage: Eukaryota; Metazoa; Arthropoda; Collembola; Entomobryomorpha; Isotomidae
Exons: 2
Source: RefSeq, a predicted model, not a curated record
UGCACAUACUUAGCAUUUACAUGGCUCAAGUCAGAUUAUUAAACUAAAUAGACAUGAAUUUGCACCAUAAUUAAUGGUCUAAAUUUAUAUUCACCUUGAGACUUUGUGGUCUACAAGGUCUUAUGGCAAACCUGUUUAUCAAUUUUUUAGUCCGUAGAGAAUGCAACAUGUUCUCCCAAAUAAAAAAUUACAUGGAUGCGAAUUCUAGCAGACAUGCAUAAGUACCUUGGGAUAUUCACUCGACACACUAAAUUCACAGACUUGAAAGCUGUUUGGCGGCGUCCAGACGACAAACAAGACGAAGUUGUUGAUAGUAGUAGCGUAAAUUUUAGACGCAAUUCACAUCUAAUCUUAUGUGAAAAUUAAAACCAUGGAGGAUGACUUGUUCAGUGAAAUUUUACCAGAAUUCAAUAUUCACCAAGACGAAUUGUAUGAAGAAUGUUGCAAUAUUUUCAUAGAAGCAGGAAGCACUACUCCAUCAAAGGAAUUGAUUAAUUGGGAUGAAUUAAUCGAAAAAAUAUCAGCUACAAAUUUCUUAUCAGAGUUUAGUUCAAGAAACUUCGACAAUCUUCCUAGUGUUCCAAAUCUUACUUGUGCAGCGGCAAAAAUUCAAAAUUUAAAUCGUGCCAAUCAAACAAAAUCUUCUAACUUGAGUGGAUCAGAAAUCAAAUCGAGAUCCGCAUUUAAUUGCAAUUUACAUAACAAACAAAACAUAUUUGAACGUCCCACUUGCUCGCAAAAGCUCAGCACGAAAACGCACCUUAAACGUCACAUUUACCUGAAACAUUCACCAUGCGACAUUUCCGUCCAGUGUCCCAUCUGUCAGAGAACAUUUUCCAAUCAAGUUAAUCUGGACAGACAUCGACGUCCCGCCUCAACUGCGCAGGCACGAAUUCGAAAUCUGUGCCGGGGAGGAGACGCACAAGACUGCAGACUCAGAUGCGAUUUGUGUGGGCAACGUUUCUUCUUAAAAAGUGGGUUAAAUCGACACUAUAAAAAGUUUCAUCGUAACGAACCAUAAAUUUUUGGUCUCAAUUUUUAUUUAAUUUUGCGAGCGUCCUUUUGAAAUUGUUAAAAUAUGAAUGUACAACAAUAAUCUUGUAUAGUUUAAUUAUGUUACAGGGUAACAGGCCUAAAUUUCUAGUAUAGACAGAGCAAUUGCCAAAUCUUAAACAAUGAAAAAACAAUGUAAUUAUGGCUACACCUUUCAAGUAGAUUCUACCCCUUCGAUUACAGUAUUUAAGUAAAUGCAGCCUCAAUUCUAUAUUAACCAAGUUCUGUCAUUAUAUUAAAAAAAUUAUUUUCAAAAGUUUACAAUUAUGAAAAGGUACUUAUGACGUACGUAAUUAUGAGGUGCGUAAGAUAAAUAAGUACGUAUGCCUGCUAUGUAUCAGCUUAUGAAUGAUCGUAAUGAAGCAUUUCUAAUUUUAAUCAAACUGUAAGUUUUAAGUGUAGAACAUGGGUAAUCAUUUAAAACGUUUAUUUAUGAGCGUAUACAUAUAAUAUUAAGUAUUCUUCCUCUAUUUUAAGUUAUCAGUUAUCAUCAAUACUUACAACCUUGAUUUGAGAAAAUAACAGCUUUCAACAUUAAAAAUAUAUGUAUGUACUUCAAAUCUUUAAAGUUAUUCUGGGCAUGUAAAUUAAUAAAUUUGUCGUAUCCA